This 306-nucleotide long non-coding RNA is filed under the name Dasypus novemcinctus (nine-banded armadillo). RNAcentral describes it as "lncRNA (ENSDNOG00000051975.1)". Lineage: Eukaryota; Metazoa; Chordata; Mammalia; Cingulata; Dasypodidae. The record is from RNAcentral.
GCGGUGAGAGGUCGAGAUGCCAGAGAGAGAACCAGGGGAACUCAGAAUACUUCCUUAAGGGAAAGUAGCCAUUAGAGAAAGCGGAGAAGGAGCAUGCAGAGGAAACGGAAGUAGGAACGAUGAGUUUUCUAGAAACCAUGGUGAGCCGUUUUAUGAAAAGGCACGUCUGCAAAAAUGCUCGGAGAGAUUUGUACAGAUAAGAGUUUGGUGGUAAACCAGUCACUAGAAUGACAGCUUGUCAUUACCACGGUCUCGCUGCUGCCUGACGAGGACUAGCUGCCGUCUGGGCAAGAUCACAUUCCACCC